GAUGAACGCUGACAGAAUGCUUAACACAUGCAAGUCAUUGGCGAAGCUGCGCUUGCGCAGUCUAGCCAAGGCGGACGGGUGAGUAACGCGUAAGGAACUUGCCCUGCAGACAGGGAUAACAGACGGAAACGACUGAUAACACCUGGUAUUGUCAGGCUGGCGCAUGCCGGCCUGAUGAAAGGAGACGCUGCAGGAGAGCCUUGCGUCCUAUUAGCUAGUUGGUGGGGUAACGGCCCACCUAGGCGAUGAUAGGUAGCCGGCCUGAGAGGGUGAACGGCCACAAGGGGACUGAGAUACGGCCCUUACUCCUACGGGAGGCAGCAGUGGGGAAUAUUGGACAAUGGGGGCAACCCUGAUCCAGCAAUUCUGUGUGCACGAAGAAGGUUUUCGGAUUGUAAAGUGCUUUCAGCAGGGAAGAAGAAAGUGACGGUACCUGCAGAAGAAGCGACGGCUAAAUACGUG
This 462-nucleotide ribosomal RNA is filed under the name uncultured bacterium. Its description in RNAcentral is "partial 16S ribosomal RNA". It matches the Rfam family "Bacterial small subunit ribosomal RNA", at positions 28 to 507 of the family's 1533-position model. The record is from RNAcentral.